AUUGAACGCUGGCGGCAGGCCUAACACAUGCAAGUCGAGCGUGAAAGUCCUUCGGGAUGAGUAAAGCGGCGGACGGGUGAGUAACGCGUAGGAAUCUACCUAGUAGUGGGGGAUAACGUUUCGAAAGGAACGCUAAUACCGCAUACGUUCUGAGGAAGAAAGCAGGGGAUCGCAAGACCUUGCGCUAUUAGAUGAGCCUGCGUCCGAUUAGCUAGUUGGUGGGGUAAAGGCCUACCAAGGCGACGAUCGGUAACUGGUCUGAGAGGAUGAUCAGUCACACUGGAACUGAGACACGGUCCAGACUCCUACGGGAGGCAGCAGUGGGGAAUAUUGGACAAUGGGGGCAACCCUGAUCCAGCCAUGCCGCGUGUGUGAAGAAGGCCUUCGGGUUGUAAAGCACUUUAAGCGGGGAGGGAGGCUCUAUGGCUAAUAUCCAUGGGGAUUGACGUUACCCGCAGAAUAAGCACCGGCAAACUUCGUGCCAGCCGCCGCGGUAAAAC
Molecule: ribosomal RNA, 500 nt
Filed under: uncultured bacterium
Lineage: Bacteria
Description: bacterial SSU rRNA
Rfam family: Bacterial small subunit ribosomal RNA
Source: RNAcentral